RNAcentral lists this ribosomal RNA (301 nucleotides) under uncultured bacterium. Its description in RNAcentral is "partial 16S ribosomal RNA". It matches the Rfam family "Bacterial small subunit ribosomal RNA", at positions 509 to 807 of the family's 1533-position model. The record is from RNAcentral.
CAGUAGCCGCGGUAAUACGAAGGGUGCAAGCGUUACUCGGAAUUACUGGGCGUAAAGCGUGCGUAGGUGGUGGUUUAAGUCCGUUGUGAAAGCCCUGGGCUCAACCUGGGAAUUGCAGUGGAUACUGGGUCACUAGAGUGUGGUAGAGGAUAGUGGAAUUUCCGGUGUAGCAGUGAAAUGCGUAGAGAUCGGAAGGAACAUCUGUGGCGAAGGCGACUAUCUGGGCCAACACUGACACUGUGGCACGAAAGCGUGGGGAGCAAACAGGAUUAGAUACCCCAGUAGUCCCUGUCUCUUAUAC